Molecule: ribosomal RNA, 472 nt
Filed under: uncultured bacterium
Lineage: Bacteria
Description: bacterial SSU rRNA
Rfam family: Bacterial small subunit ribosomal RNA
Source: RNAcentral
ACGAACGCUGGCGGCGUGCUUAACACAUGCAAGUCGAGCGGAAAGGCUCCUUCGGGGGUACUCGAGCGGCGAACGGGUGAGUAACACGUGAGUAAUCUGCCCUUGGCUUUGGGAUAAGCCCCGGAAACGGGGUCUAAUACCGGAUACGACGCACUCUCGCAUGGGAUGUGUGUGGAAAGUUUUUCGGCCAGGGAUGUGCUCGCGGCCUAUCAGCUUGUUGGUGGGGUAAUGGCCUACCAAGGCUUCGACGGGUAGCCGGCCUGAGAGGGUGACCGGCCACACUGGGACUGAGACACGGCCCAGACUCCUACGGGAGGCAGCAGUGGGGAAUAUUGGACAAUGGGCGGAAGCCUGAUCCAGCAACGCCGCGUGAGGGAUGACGGCCUUCGGGUUGUAAACCUCUUUCAGUACCGACGAAGCGCCGAUGAUGGUGGUGACGGUAGGUACAGAAGAAGCACCGGCCAACUACGUG